This 72-nucleotide transfer RNA is filed under the name Apaloderma vittatum (bar-tailed trogon). It matches the Rfam family "tRNA". Rfam says of the family: Transfer RNA (tRNA) molecules are approximately 80 nucleotides in length. The record is from Rfam by way of RNAcentral. Lineage: Eukaryota; Metazoa; Chordata; Aves; Trogoniformes; Trogonidae.
GGCCGGUUAGCUCAGUCAGUAGAGCAUAGCACUAAGAACGCUAAGGUCAUGGGCUCGAUUCCCUUCCGGUUC